UACAGAGGGCUCGAGCGUUAGUCGGAGUCACUGGGCUUAAAGGGUGCGUAGGCGGCUCGCCAAGUGCUUUGUGAAAUCCCACAGCUCAACUGUGGAACAGCAGGGCAAACUGGCGAGCUUGAAGCAGGUAGGGGCUGGAAGAACAGUUGGUGGAGCGGUGAAAUGCGUAGAUAUCAACUGGAAUGCCGAUGGGGAAGCCGUCCAGCUGGGCCUGUCUUGACGCUGAGGCACGAAAGCGUGGGGAGCAAACAGG
This 253-nucleotide ribosomal RNA is filed under the name uncultured bacterium. RNAcentral's name for it is "partial 16S ribosomal RNA". It matches the Rfam family "Bacterial small subunit ribosomal RNA", at positions 524 to 776 of the family's 1533-position model. The record is from RNAcentral.